UAGGGAAUCUUCCGCAAUGGGCGAAAGCCUGACGGAGCAACGCCGCGUGAGUGAUGAAGGUCUUCGGAUCGUAAAACUCUGUUAUUAGGGAAGAACAAAUGUGUAAGUAACUAUGCACGUCUUGACAGUACCUAAUCAGAAAGCCACGGCUAACUACGUGCCAGCAGCCGCGGUAAUACGUAGGUGGCAAGCGUUAUCCGGAAUUAUUGGGCGUAAAGCGCGCGUAGGCGGUUUUUUAAGUCUGAUGUGAAAGCCCACGGCUCAACCGUGGAGGGUCAUUGGAAACUGGAAAACUUGAGUGCAGAAGAGGAAAGUGGAAUUCCAUGUGUAGCAGUGAAAUGCGCAGAGAUAUGGAGGAACACCAGUGGCGAAGGCGACUUUCUGGUCUGUAACUGACGCUGAUGUGCGAAAGCGUGGGGAUCAAACAGG
This 429-nucleotide ribosomal RNA is filed under the name Actinomycetes bacterium. RNAcentral describes it as "Actinobacteria bacterium partial 16S ribosomal RNA". It matches the Rfam family "Bacterial small subunit ribosomal RNA", at positions 355 to 776 of the family's 1533-position model. Lineage: Bacteria; Bacillati; Actinomycetota; Actinomycetes. The record is from RNAcentral.